AAGGGCGCACGGUGGAUGCCUUGGCACUAGGAGCCGAUGAAGGACGGGACUAACACCGAUAUGCUUUGGGGAGCUGUAAGUAAGCUAUGAUCCAGAGAUUUCCGAAUGGGGGAACCCAAUAUCUUUUAUAGGAUAUUACUUUUCAGUGAAU
Molecule: ribosomal RNA, 151 nt
Filed under: Enterococcus faecalis OG1RF
Lineage: Bacteria; Bacillati; Bacillota; Bacilli; Lactobacillales; Enterococcaceae
Also listed under: 2 other names
Rfam family: Bacterial large subunit ribosomal RNA
Source: RNAcentral